This 374-nucleotide long non-coding RNA is filed under the name Androctonus crassicauda. Lineage: Eukaryota; Metazoa; Arthropoda; Arachnida; Scorpiones; Buthidae. The record is from RNAcentral.
GCUUCUCCCUUCUUGUGGUGGGGCUCAGACACCAGCAACAGCCUCUUGGGAUGCCCCAAGUUGUCUCCAGUUCUUUCUAGCUGUCCUUUUUUAAGUGUGUGCUCUUCCUUCCUUAAAACCCCUAGAUUUCCUGUUACAUACUAACACAGGUCUUCCCUUUCACUCCAACCCCAGGUUUCAGGCCUCAGAGCCAUGCUGGGGUUGGAGAAAACUGCAUUCCUAUGAGGGUAAAAAGUAGCUGCCCUCUCUGACCCUUUCUUGCUAGGCUUCAUGCGGGAUGGGAGAGGGUAUCCCCAGGAUGGGGACAGAGGAAGCCUGGCUAGGGCCUUCUAGCCCAAUAAGCCAAACAGGAACUAUAAGCAGAUCAAAAUCCU